Molecule: ribosomal RNA, 831 nt
Filed under: alpha proteobacterium SCGC AAA288-E17
Lineage: Bacteria; Pseudomonadati; Pseudomonadota; Alphaproteobacteria
Description: SSU rRNA
Rfam family: Bacterial small subunit ribosomal RNA
Source: RNAcentral
GUACGCUGGCGGCACGCCUAACACAUGCAAGUCGAACGAAGUAGCAAUACUUAGUGGCGAACGGGUGAGUAUAAUGUGGGUAUCUGCCUUUUGGUUUGGAAUAACACGGGGAAACUUGUGCUAAUACCGGAUAAGCCUUCACAGGGAAAGCUUUAGCGCCAAAAGAUGAGCCCACACUUGAUUAGCUAGUUGGUAAGGUAAUGGCUUACCAAGGCUACGAUCAAUAGCUGAUCUGAGAGGAUGAUCAGCCACAUUGGGACUGAGACACGGCCCAAACUCCUACGGGAGGCAGCAGUGGGGAAUCUUGCACAAUGGGGGAAACCCUGAUGCAGCGAUGCCGCGUGAGUGAAGAAGGCCUUUGGGUUGUAAAGCUCUUUCGUCGGGGAAGAAAAUGACUGUACCCGAAUAAGAAGGUCCGGCUAACUUCGUGCCAGCAGCCGCGGUAAUACGAAGGGACCUAGCGUAGUUCGGAAUUACUGGGCUUAAAGAGCUCGUAGGUGGUUGGAAAAGUUGGUGGUGAAAUCCCAAGGCUUAACCUUGGAACUGCCACCAAAACUUUUUGACUAGAGUAUGAUAGAGGAAAGUGGAAUUUCUAGUGUAGAGGUGAAAUUCGUAGAUAUUAGAAAGAACACCAAUUGCGAAGGCAACUUUCUGGAUCAUUACUGACACUGAGGAGCGAAAGCAUGGGUAGCGAAGAGGAUUAGAUACCCUCGUAGUCCAUGCCGUAAACGAUGUGUGCUAGACGUUGGAAACUUAGUUUUCAGUGUCGCAGCAAAAGCGUUAAGCACACCGCCUGGGGAGUACGACCGCAAGUAACUCAAUGAUGACGUC